This 454-nucleotide unclassified non-coding RNA is filed under the name uncultured fungus. RNAcentral's name for it is "sequence contains ITS2". The stretch from base 1 to 154 matches the Rfam family "5.8S ribosomal RNA". The record is from RNAcentral. Lineage: Eukaryota; Fungi.
AACUUUUAGCAAUGGAUCACUUGGCUCUUGCAACGAUGAAGAACGCAGUGAAAUGCGAAAAGUAAUGCGAUUUGCAUGAAUCUGUGAGUCAUCAAGUCUUUGAACGCACCUUGCACCGUAUGAGCAAUUGUACGGUAUACCUGUUUGAGAAUCGUAAAACUCUCUUUCCACCAGUCAUGGUGGGAGACUUGUCGGUUGUGCUGGCGCAAGCCCGUACUCUGAUCAAAAGGAUUAGGUCUGGAUCAGGCUAGUGGCCUGGGACAUUGUGUGCUAGAGACGUCGCUUCACGGCUGACUGUCUUCUCACAAUGCGUCCUGGGCUAUUCAAAGCUAGCUUGGUUGGCAAGGCCUCUUUAGUGUCUCUGGUCCUCACGGGCCGGGUCACAACCCCCCUUUUUGAUCUCAAAUCAGGUAAGGCUACCCGCUGAACUUAAGCAUAUCAAUAAGCGGAGGCU